RNAcentral lists this ribosomal RNA (274 nucleotides) under uncultured bacterium. RNAcentral's name for it is "partial 16S ribosomal RNA". It matches the Rfam family "Bacterial small subunit ribosomal RNA", at positions 523 to 796 of the family's 1533-position model. The record is from RNAcentral.
AUACGGAGGGUGCGAGCGUUGUUCGGAAUUAUUGGGCGUAAAGAGCAUGUAGGCGGUCUGUUAAGUCUGGCGUGAAAGCCCGGGGCUCAACCCCGGAAGUGCAUUGGAUACUGGCAGACUUGAGUAUGGGAGAGGAAAGCGGAAUUCCGAGUGUAGGAGUGAAAUCCGUAGAUAUUCGGAGGAACACCAGUGGCGAAGGCGGCUUUCUGGACCAAUACUGACGCUGAGAUGCGAAAGCGUGGGGAGCAAACAGGAUUAGAAACCCCGGUAGUCC